GGAAACGUGAUUAAUCCACGAGAGGUGA
Molecule: small RNA, 28 nt
Filed under: Bombyx mori (domestic silkworm)
Lineage: Eukaryota; Metazoa; Arthropoda; Insecta; Lepidoptera; Bombycidae
Description: ovarian small RNA-17174
Source: RNAcentral